UACGGAGGGAGCUAGCGUUGUUCGGAAUUACUGGGCGUAAAGCGCACGUAGGCGGCUUUGUAAGUUAGAGGUGAAAGCCCGGGGCUCAACUCCGGAACUGCCUUUAAGACUGCAUCGCUUGAAUCCAGGAGAGGUGAGUGGAAUUCCGAGUGUAGAGGUGAAAUUCGUAGAUAUUCGGAAGAACACCAGUGGCGAAGGCGGCUCACUGGACUGGUAUUGACGCUGAGGUGCGAAAGCGUGGGGAGCGAACGGG
RNAcentral lists this ribosomal RNA (253 nucleotides) under uncultured bacterium. RNAcentral describes it as "partial 16S ribosomal RNA". It matches the Rfam family "Bacterial small subunit ribosomal RNA", at positions 524 to 776 of the family's 1533-position model. The record is from RNAcentral.